This 326-nucleotide ribosomal RNA is filed under the name uncultured bacterium. Its description in RNAcentral is "bacterial SSU rRNA". It matches the Rfam family "Bacterial small subunit ribosomal RNA", at positions 197 to 504 of the family's 1533-position model. The record is from RNAcentral.
GCGCCUUUUGGGUGUUUUUGGUGGGGGAUGGGCUCGCGGCCUAUCAGCUUGUUGGUGGGGUGAUGGCCUACCAAGGCGGUGACGGGUAGCCGGCCUGAGAGGGUGGACGGUCACACUGGGACUGAGACACGGCCCAGACUCCUACGGGAGGCAGCAGUGGGGAAUAUUGCACAAUGGGCGCAAGCCUGAUGCAGCGAUCGCCGCGUGGAGGAGUGGGACGGUCCGUUUCGGGUUUGUACGAACCUUCUUUCCGCCAGUAGAAGCGACGGCCUGUCCCUUUUGUGGGUGGGUUGACGGUAGCUGGAUAAGAAGCGCCGGCUAACUAC